This is a non-coding RNA of Schistosoma margrebowiei, 45 nucleotides long. NCBI's taxonomy places the organism in Eukaryota, Metazoa, Platyhelminthes, Trematoda, Strigeidida, Schistosomatidae. The record is from Rfam.
AUCCAACUGAUGAGUACCAAACAGGACGAAAUGCGCGUCCUGGAU